RNAcentral lists this ribosomal RNA (253 nucleotides) under uncultured prokaryote. Its description in RNAcentral is "partial 16S ribosomal RNA". It matches the Rfam family "Bacterial small subunit ribosomal RNA", at positions 524 to 776 of the family's 1533-position model. The record is from RNAcentral.
UACAGAGGGGGCAAGCGUUGUUCGGAAUUACUGGGCGUAAAGGGCGCGUAGGCGGCCUGUUAAGUCGAACGUGAAAUCCCCGGGCUCAACCCGGGAACUGCGUCCGAUACUGGCAGGCUUGAAUUCGGGAGAGGGAUGCGGAAUUCCAGGUGUAGCGGUGAAAUGCGUAGAUAUCUGGAGGAACACCGGUGGCGAAGGCGGCCUUCUGGACAGUGACUGACGCUGAGCCGCGAAAGCGUGGGGAGCAAACAGG